This 104-nucleotide ribosomal RNA is filed under the name Planctomycetota bacterium. Lineage: Bacteria; Pseudomonadati; Planctomycetota. The record is from RNAcentral.
GCCGGUGCCCAUGCUGAAGGGGCCACACCCGAUCCCAUCCCGAACUCGGAAGUUAAGCCCUUCAGGCCGAUGAUACUGAAUGGGAAAGUAGGUUAGCGCCGGCG